RNAcentral lists this ribosomal RNA (457 nucleotides) under uncultured bacterium. RNAcentral describes it as "partial 16S ribosomal RNA". It matches the Rfam family "Bacterial small subunit ribosomal RNA", at positions 338 to 795 of the family's 1533-position model. The record is from RNAcentral.
CCUACGGGUGGCAGCAGUGGGGCAUAUUGCACAAUGGGGGAAACCCUGAUGCAGCGACGCCGCGUGAGUGAAGAAGUAUUUCGGUACGUAAAGCUCUAUCAGCAGGGAAGAAAAAAAGGCCUUUGGACUUUUGACGGUACCUGACCAAGAAGCUCCGGCUAACUACGUGCCAGCAGCCGCGGUAAUACGGAGGGGGCAAGCGUUAUCCGGAUUUACGGGGUGUAAAGGGAGCGCAGACGGCAGCGCAAGUCUGGAGUGAAAUGCCGGGGCCCAACCCCGGAACUGCUUUGGAAACUGUGCAGCUGGAGUGCAGGAGAGGUAAGCGGAAUUCCUAGUGUAGCGGUGAAAGGCGUAGAUAUUAGGAGGAACACCAGUGGCGAAGGCGGCUUACUGGACUGUAACUGACGUUGAGGCUCGAAAGCGUGGGGAGCAAACAGGAUUAGAUACCCUUGUAGUC